UGUCUCAGAUGGUAAAGAAUCUGUCUGUAAUGCAGGAGACCCAGGUUCGAUCCCUGG
Non-coding RNA from Bos taurus (domestic cattle), 57 nucleotides. NCBI's taxonomy places the organism in Eukaryota, Metazoa, Chordata, Mammalia, Artiodactyla, Bovidae. The record is from Rfam.